Long non-coding RNA from Esox lucius (northern pike), 272 nucleotides. RefSeq lists it as uncharacterized. The record is from RefSeq and is a predicted model, not a curated record. NCBI's taxonomy places the organism in Eukaryota, Metazoa, Chordata, Actinopteri, Esociformes, Esocidae. The transcript is spliced from 3 exons.
AUCAGUCUAGGAAAAUUAUAUAAGAAGCCAAAACCAAGAUAAAAGGCAGCAGCUUUGCAUUUGUCUUAGUAGGAAAAUGGCUGUAAUAUUUGGACUUCCUUUGAGAGUUUCUUGGAUAAGUUGCCUGCUAAUUGGAGGUAUAGCAUGUUUUCCUUCACCAACUGGUGACUAUGAAUAUAUUCACCAAGUUACACCAAAACCAACCCGCUCCUACAUGUCAAGUGUGGUGACUGGCUCAAAUACUCCAGGUGAAAUAAACCGGCACAAUGUAU